RNAcentral lists this ribosomal RNA (1431 nucleotides) under Lactiplantibacillus plantarum. RNAcentral's name for it is "bacterial SSU rRNA". It matches the Rfam family "Bacterial small subunit ribosomal RNA". The record is from RNAcentral. Lineage: Bacteria; Bacillati; Bacillota; Bacilli; Lactobacillales; Lactobacillaceae.
AACGCUGGCGGCGUGCCUAAUACAUGCAAGUCGAACGAACUCUGGUAUUGAUUGGUGCUUGCAUCAUGAUUUACAUUUGAGUGAGUGGCGAACUGGUGAGUAACACGUGGGAAACCUGCCCAGAAGCGGGGGAUAACACCUGGAAACAGAUGCUAAUACCGCAUAACAACUUGGACCGCAUGGUCCGAGCUUGAAAGAUGGCUUCGGCUAUCACUUUUGGAUGGUCCCGCGGCGUAUUAGCUAGAUGGUGGGGUAACGGCUCACCAUGGCAAUGAUACGUAGCCGACCUGAGAGGGUAAUCGGCCACAUUGGGACUGAGACACGGCCCAAACUCCUACGGGAGGCAGCAGUAGGGAAUCUUCCACAAUGGACGAAAGUCUGAUGGAGCAACGCCGCGUGAGUGAAGAAGGGUUUCGGCUCGUAAAACUCUGUUGUUAAAGAAGAACAUAUCUGAGAGUAACUGUUCAGGUAUUGACGGUAUUUAACCAGAAAGCCACGGCUAACUACGUGCCAGCAGCCGCGGUAAUACGUAGGUGGCAAGCGUUGUCCGGAUUUAUUGGGCGUAAAGCGAGCGCAGGCGGUUUUUUAAGUCUGAUGUGAAAGCCUUCGGCUCAACCGAAGAAGUGCAUCGGAAACUGGGAAACUUGAGUGCAGAAGAGGACAGUGGAACUCCAUGUGUAGCGGUGAAAUGCGUAGAUAUAUGGAAGAACACCAGUGGCGAAGGCGGCUGUCUGGUCUGUAACUGACGCUGAGGCUCGAAAGUAUGGGUAGCAAACAGGAUUAGAUACCCUGGUAGUCCAUACCGUAAACGAUGAAUGCUAAGUGUUGGAGGGUUUCCGCCCUUCAGUGCUGCAGCUAACGCAUUAAGCAUUCCGCCUGGGGAGUACGGCCGCAAGGCUGAAACUCAAAGGAAUUGACGGGGGCCCGCACAAGCGGUGGAGCAUGUGGUUUAAUUCGAAGCUACGCGAAGAACCUUACCAGGUCUUGACAUACUAUGCAAAUCUAAGAGAUUAGACGUUCCCUUCGGGGACAUGGAUACAGGUGGUGCAUGGUUGUCGUCAGCUCGUGUCGUGAGAUGUUGGGUUAAGUCCCGCAACGAGCGCAACCCUUAUUAUCAGUUGCCAGCAUUAAGUUGGGCACUCUGGUGAGACUGCCGGUGACAAACCGGAGGAAGGUGGGGAUGACGUCAAAUCAUCAUGCCCCUUAUGACCUGGGCUACACACGUGCUACAAUGGAUGGUACAACGAGUUGCGAACUCGCGAGAGUAAGCUAAUCUCUUAAAGCCAUUCUCAGUUCGGAUUGUAGGCUGCAACUCGCCUACAUGAAGUCGGAAUCGCUAGUAAUCGCGGAUCAGCAUGCCGCGGNUGAAAUACGUUCCCGGGCCUUGUACACACCGCCCGUCNACACCAUGAGAGUUUGUAACACCCAAAG